CAUUAGAUUGAGGUGUAUAAGGAGCAGUCACUUGAUGCACAAUUCUAAACUUUUGACAGAAAGCAGUCAUCUCAUUUGAAGUAUAUUCACCACCUCGAUCAGACCUCAAAAUCUUGAUUUUCUUAUCUAAUUGAUUUUCAACUUCAGCCUUAUAAAUUUUGAAUCUGCUUAAAAUCUCAUCUUUAGAUUUGAUCAAAUAAGCGUAACAAUAUUUUGAAUGAUCAUCUAUAAAUGUCACAAAAUAUUUAUUUCCACCUCUACUAGGUCUACUUCNCUCAUCUUUAGAUUUGAUCAAAUAAGCGUAACAAUAUUUUGAAUGAUCAUCUAUAAAUGUCACAAAAUAUUUAUUUCCACCUCUACUAGGUCUACUUCUAUCACAAAUAUCACUGU
This 390-nucleotide long non-coding RNA is filed under the name Ananas comosus (pineapple). RNAcentral describes it as "long non-coding RNA (ACOM_LNC001881)". The record is from RNAcentral. Lineage: Eukaryota; Viridiplantae; Streptophyta; Magnoliopsida; Poales; Bromeliaceae.